Molecule: unclassified non-coding RNA, 636 nt
Filed under: Bradyrhizobium sp.
Lineage: Bacteria; Pseudomonadati; Pseudomonadota; Alphaproteobacteria; Hyphomicrobiales; Nitrobacteraceae
Description: partial 16S-23S ribosomal RNA intergenic spacer
Rfam family: Bacterial large subunit ribosomal RNA (bases 515-636)
Source: RNAcentral
AGUUCAGUCUUCCCAGGCCCACCACUUUCAUCGAGUGAGCAUUCGUCUUCUGGUUACGGGGCCAUAGCUCAGCUGGGAGAGCGCGUGCUUUGCAAGCAUGAGGUCGUCGGUUCGAUCCCGUCUGGCUCCACCAGAUGGUUUGAUCACCGAGAUCUUGACCGUCGUCCGCGAAACAUCACUUCGCAUCCUGCUAGUCUGGAUAGACAGCAGUUUGCGUGUUUUCUGACAUCGUAAAGAGGAGAUCGAUCCGAGUUGGGUCGUGCAGCAUAUCGUUGCGCGAGCCUUCAUUAUCUCCGGAUCAUUUCGGCGCUCGCUUCCAGCCGUGAGGUUGGAUGCGGGUUGUAAAUGAUCCUUUUAGCGAAGCUUGACCGCCUCGCUAUCGGAACGAUCUUACGAAGCAAGCUGGUCUUUCUAGUCAAUGUCCGGCUGCGGAUAGCGUUCAUCGAGGGCGCGUGCCGCAAGGCAAUUCUGCAGACAACAUUCUGCCGAGUGUGUGGACAUUGAUAAUGAGAGCAAUCAAGUGCCUUAAGGGUGUUCGGUGGAUGCCUUGGCGCUGAGAGGCGAUGAAGGACGUGCUACGCUGCGAUAAGCCGUGGGGAGCUGCGAAGAAGCUUUGAUCCGCGGAUUUCCGAAUGG